This 458-nucleotide ribosomal RNA is filed under the name uncultured bacterium. RNAcentral describes it as "bacterial SSU rRNA". It matches the Rfam family "Bacterial small subunit ribosomal RNA", at positions 340 to 789 of the family's 1533-position model. The record is from RNAcentral.
UACGGAAGGCAGCAGUGGGGAAUAUUGCACAAUGGGCGAAAGCCUGAUGCAGCUAUGCCGCGUGUAUGAAGAAGGCCUUAGGGUUGUAAAGUACUUUCAUCGGGGAGGAAAAAACAAAACUAAUAAUUUUAUUUCUUGACGUUACCCGAAAAAGAAGCACCGGCUAACUCCGUGCCAGCAGCCGCGGUAAUACGGAGGGUGCUAGCGUUAAUCAGAAUUACUGGGCGUAAAGAGCACGUAGGUGGUUUUUUUAAGUCAGAUGUGAAAUCCCUGGGCUUAACCUAGGAACUGCAUUUUGAAACUGAAAUACUGAGUAUCGUAGAGGGAGGUAGAAUUCUAGGUGUAGCGGUGAAAUGCGUAGAUAUCUGGAGGAAUACCUGUGGCGAAAGCGGCCUCCUAAACGAAUACUGACACUGAGGUGCGAAAGCGUGGGGAGCAAACAGGGAUUAGAUACCCGU